RNAcentral lists this ribosomal RNA (2878 nucleotides) under Pavlova gyrans. RNAcentral's name for it is "Bacterial large subunit ribosomal RNA". It matches the Rfam family "Bacterial large subunit ribosomal RNA". The record is from RNAcentral. Lineage: Eukaryota; Haptophyta; Pavlovophyceae; Pavlovales; Pavlovaceae.
UCAAGUUAAUAAGAGCUUUGGGUGGAUACCUAGACAUUCAGAAGCGAUGAAGGGCGUGGUUACCGACGAAACACCUCGGGGAGCUGGAAACAAGCUUAGAUCCGGGGAUUCCCGAAUGAGGAAACUCUUUAUACUUCUUUUUUGAAUAUAUAGAUUAAGAAGAGCGAACCUGGUGAACUGAAACAUCUAAGUAACCAGAGGAAAAGAAAGCAAAAGCGAUUCUCUUAGUAGCGGCGAGCGAAACGGGAACAGUCUAAACUAAACUUUUGUUUAGGGUUGCGGGAGAGACUAUUAUAAAUUCUUCUAUUGUUAGAUGAAGCGCUUGGAAUCGCGCGCCAUAGAAAGUGAUAGCCUUGUAAUUGAAAACAAAAUAAAGAAUUUGUCUUUUUCCCAAGUAGGAGGGGAUAAGUGAAGCCCCCUUUGAAUCUACGAGGACCACCUCGUAAGACUAAAUAUUACUGAAUGAUCGAUAGUGAACCAGUACCGUGAGGGAAAGGUGAAAAGAACCCCGGAAGGGGAGUGAAAAGAACAUGAAACCGAAAGCUUACAAGCAGUAGAAGGACGACUAUAACGUCUAACUUCGUUCCUGUUGAAGUAUGAGCCGGCGACUUGUAGGUAGUGGCAGGUUAAGGUUAUACCGGAGCCACAGUGCAAGCGAGCCUUAAUAGGGCGUCGUCACUAUUUACAGACCCGAACCCGGAUGAUCUAACCAUGGCCAGUGUGAAACUUGGGUAAUGCUAAGUGGAGGCGCGAACCGACUGUUGUUGAAAAAACAGCGGAUGAGUUGUGGUUAGGGGUGAAAUGCCAAUCGAAUCCGGAGCUAGCUGGUUCUCCCCGAAAUGUGUUUUGGCACAGCGGUUAAUGUUUGAGUUCAGGGGUAAAGCACUGUUUCGGUGCGGGCUGCUAACGCGGUACCAAAUCGUGGCAAACUCAGAAUACUGAACAUUUCAUAAUUAACCAGUCAGACUGUGGGGGAUAAGCUCCAUUGUCAAGAGGGAAACAGCCCAGACUACUAGCUAAGGCCCCUAAAUUAUGGCUAAGUGAUAAAGGAGGUGGGGAUUCUAAAACAACCAGGAGGUUUGCUUAGAAGCAGCAACCCUUUAAAGAGUGCGUAAUAGCUCACUGUUCGAGUGACCCUGCGCCGAAAAUGUACGGGGCUAAGUCAUAUGCCGAAGCUGUAGGAUAUAAACAUAAAAUAUCGGUAGGGGAGCGUUCUAUACCGAUUUGAAGCGCUAACGUAAGUGGGCGUGGAUUGGAUAGAAGUGAGAAUGUUGGCUUGAGUAGCGAAAAUAUUGGUGAGAAUCCAAUAUCCCGAAAACCUAAGGGUUCCUCCGGAAGGCUCGUCCGCGGGGGGUUAGUCAGGGCCUAAGCCGAGGCGGAAAAGCGUAGGUGAUGGACAACAGGUUAAUAUUCCUGUACUUUUUACUAAUGAUAUAGAGGGACGGAGAAGGCUAUACUCGCCGGAUGUUGGUUACCGGUCUAAGUGUACGAGGUGUUGAGAGGCGGUGAAAACGCCUUGAGCUAAGGCAUGAUGGGUAGGUAUAGUAAUUAUACCGAAUGAGUUAAGGUCAGGCUUCCAAGAAAAGCUUUUAAUAUCGUAAUUAGUGAAAACCUGUACCCGAAACCGACACAGGUAGGUAGGUAGAGAAUACCAAGGGACGCGAGAUAACUCUCUCUAAGGAACUCGGCAAAAUGACCUCGUAACUUCGGAAGAAGAGGUACCCUGAAAAGGGUUGCAAAAUCCAGGCUCAGGCGACUGUUUAUCAAAAACACAGGUCUCCGCUAAGUUGUAAAACGAUGUAUGGAGGCUGACGCCUGCCCAGUGCCGGAAGGUUUAAGAAGUUGGUUAUUCUUUGAAGAAGCUGAUGACUAAAGCCCCGGUGAACGGCGGCCGUAACAAUAACGGUCCUAAGGUAGCGAAAUUCCUUGUCGGGUAAGUUCCGACCCGCACGAAAGGCGUAACGAUCUGAGCACUGUCUCAGAGAGAGACUCGGCGAAAUAGACAUGUCUGUGAAGAGGCGGACUACCUGCACCUGGACAGAAAGACCCUAUGAAGCUUUACUGUAGCUUGAAAUUGUUUUCACGUCUUGCACGCGCAGGAUAGGUGGGAGACUGAGAAGGAAUCUCUUCGGGGGUUCUGGAGUCACACGUGAGAUACCACUCUUGUAAGACUAGAAUUCUAACCUCAGACCGUUAUCCGGCUGAGGGACCAUUUUAGGUGGGCAGUUUGACUGGGGCGGUCGCCUCCCAAAAGGUAACGGAGGCGUGCAAAGGUUUCCUCAGGUUGGUUGGAAAUCAACCUUCGAGCGCAAAGGUAUAAGGAAGCUUGAUUGCGAGACCUACAAGUCGAGCAAAGACGAAAGUCGGCCUUAGUGAUCCGACACUACCGAGUGGAAGGAGUGUCGCUCAACGGAUAAAAGUUACUCUAGGGAUAACAGGCUGAUCUCUCCCAAGAGUUCACAUCGACGGAGAGGUUUGGCACCUCGAUGUCGGCUCAUCGCAUCCUGGGGCGGUAGUACGUCCCAAGGGUUGGGCUGUUCGCCCAUGAAAGCGGUACGCGAGCUGGGUUCAGAACGUCGUGAGACAGUUCGGUCCAUAUCCGGUGCAGGCGUUAGAGCAUUGAGAGAAGCUUUCCCUAGUACGAGAGGACCGGGAAAGAUACACCUCUGGUGUACCAGUUAUCGUGCCAACGGUAAACGCUGGGUAGCUACGUGUAGUUGGAUAACCGCUGAAAGCAUCUAAGUGGGAAGCCAUACUCAAGAUGAGUGCUCUCAUCCUAAAAGGAUUAAGGUCACGGUUAGAUUAGCCGUUCGAUAGGUAUCAAGUGUAAGUGCAGCAAUGCAUUCAGCUGAGAUAUACUAAUAGACCGAAAACUUGA